RNAcentral lists this long non-coding RNA (2839 nucleotides) under Gallus gallus (chicken). RNAcentral describes it as "lncRNA (ENSGALG00010009165.1)". Lineage: Eukaryota; Metazoa; Chordata; Aves; Galliformes; Phasianidae. The record is from RNAcentral.
CUUGCCGUGUUCCCUGCUGGAUUGGCUCGCUACUGCUGCUCCCGACUGCACGCAAGGCUUCAGUAUUAGCCUUAAAUCUACUAAAGACCACCUCAUAUUCCUCAUCGUGACUCCUUGUCUCUAUAAACAAACAGAAGAAACAAAGUCAAGCUCUUUUAAUCUUCUGUUAGUCUUCCUCAGCUGCUCUACCAGUCCAUGGGAGCAAGACUCAACAGUGUAGGGUAUUUACGAGUAGGAUUUAAAGAAACAGCGUCUCACUGAUAACUGCAUUUUAACAAAUUCCAGUAGAUAUGUUAUUGAGCUGAUUGCUUAAGAGCUCCUACAUCUUUCUUGUAAAUUCUUCUCUACAUGCAUAUGCGACAGGAAGACAUACCUUUCUAAUCCUCAUUUAAUGCGAGCCAGAAGUGUGAUUCUUGUUGUGUCUGGUGCUGUAGAAACACCGAAGACAAGCACAGUCUGAUUUUAAAUUUCUCACAAAUGAUCGUUAUUUCUUUAAAAGGCUCAGGAUCAAGGGAAGAAAUCUACUAACUCCUCAAACAGCACUUCCUCCCUUCCCAUCAUCUAGGAAGGCCAUUUCAUUGUGGGCAUAGACUUCCCAAUAAGCUAGUUUUGCUGUGCUUGUGAGUUCAAAGAUCUUUCAGUGAGCAGAAGCACAAACUCAUUUUUACCAUGUUUCUCUUGUCUUCAUCCAAAUCCCCUCUGGACUGAAUGGCAGUUUGGCAGAUGCAGGACAGUAGAUCAAUCAUUUUCAAUAGAUGUUCAGUGGACAGGUCAGGCUGUGUGGACCAGGUUGUGCUCCCAGCUUUUCUUUCACACCUUCACUUUUCAGCCAGCUUUUGCAAAAAUGUCCUUCUGCAGGUGAAUCCAGGGCUAACUGGGAUGCAGGAUGCCUGGUGAGAGUGGGUAUCAUCAAGACAGAAGCAAAAUAAAACUUAGGGGAACAUGGUGACUGCAGUUAUGUGGUAGCUGUUGUAAGACAUGAUACGAUUUUGGUUCCUAUUGCAAAUGCCCACUUUCAGAGGUUGAACUUUGGCAUUAGUGGCAUAUUUCCAGGAGUGUUUGCAGGACAGUGGUCAUGAGGUGGGAAUUCCAUCAUUCAAAGUAAUGUUAUUCAGUACAGCUAAACACUGCAAAUUUCUUGAGUUUGCAAAAAGAGAUCUAUUCAAUGAGAGUUUCAGAAGUAUGGAGCAAAAGUAAACAAACAAACAAACAAACAAUCUGUCUUGAAAGUGUAAUUUGGAUAAAAGCUGAUUUCACAGAUUAUUAUUGUUUUUUUUUAAGGAAAUUGCAGAAUCUCUAAAAGUUGACUGGGUUUUGAAGGGUAGUGGUGUCCCUCAUGUUUACAUGGAUUCAGUGUACCCGUAUGUACCUAGUGACACUCAGGGCUUAUCAACUCCAGUAACUAAACUGAGUUUAAACUAAACUAAACUAAACUAACUAAACUGAGAUGCUAAAAGAAGUCACACUAGCAGAUAUCAGAUAGAUUUUUUCCUAGACAAAUUUUUUAGCAGGGAAUUUAGUCCUACUUUUUAGUCCAAAUUGUUAAUAGGGAUUAGAGAGGCUUUUAUUUUCUCUAUUAUCACUGCUUUUUUAUACUGAUGCACACUUACUACUAUUAGCAUUUUGCAAUCUAUGAAAUAGAUAGGAGCAGUGGAUUGGCAUAGGCCUUAUAUUGUAGUUUGAUAGUGUUCUCUACAAUUGUGCUCUUCAGACCAUACUGCAUUUCUCCCUUCUUAACUGAUAACAUCUUUUUAUUGUAAAGAGGUGAUAGCUAGAAACAAUGAAAUGCUGUCCCUAAAAGCUUAUAGAGCUGAGAAUGAUGGAGGAAAAUUACCAGUGAAUAUUUAGGUAAGGUAAAUGGAGUCAUGCAUUAGGAAAAUUGGAACUGUGCUGAAGAUAUUAGACAUACAGAUUUUCUUACACUAUCUUCUGAAAUGUGUUUGAUUUUAGCAACUGGAUCUUUUACGGAGGUCAAAGAGUUAUGCAUGUCACCACAUGUAAGAUGUAGUCAGAUAGUAACUGUCUGGUUAUUGUGAAGGAAAGAAGAAAUGCUGCAACUAGCUCUGCUAUAGGCCAUGUCCAGCUAAUAUAUGGUAAUGUGGUCCAGUCAGCACAAAGAUAACAGAAAAAAUGUACCCACAUAGUGUUCUCCAUCUCUCCAUAUUUACAUGGGACUCAAAUAUGCCUGUAGACUAACAUUUGGCAGCAAGUUUGGGGCAUGUGCUGUUAAGAGAACCGUGAAGAGUCCUCCAAACUGAUGAGAGGGCUGUCGGCUGCUGUAGAAAGAGAAUUUUUUAAAGGAUUGAACAGAAGAACUUGCAUGGCAACACCAGACUGUAAAUGGAUCGGUUGCAGUGUAAACAAUUUUUAUAUCAUAAUACUACAAUGAGAAAAGAAAAAACUGAUUCUUAAGACCCUUUGAUAUCUGAAACCAAUAAAAUUAUUAAAGAUGGAAUGAAAAACUGAAGUCUUGAGUUCCACAAAGUUGGUUGCCUCCUACUUGUAACACUAGAUGACAUUUCUUUGCAGGGUGCUUAUGUUAACGAACAAAAUCCAUAGCUCUUGGCUUCUAAACAAUGAAGACAGUCAGUUUCAAAGAGCUGAUGAAUUAGUUUUCCUGGGGGAGGAGAGCAGCUGUAUUCCUCAUUGAACACCUUUCUGGCUUGUUCUUUGUAACUUUUCCGAAGGGUGUAUAUGAACAGACUUUCAAAGCAAAUCUGUGAAGCAAGUGGUAAAAUAAGGUCAUGCUUUGGUGGGAGAAGGAAAACAAAAGGUAGAAGCCAAAGGAAGGAAAACAAAAAUUAGAUAGAAAAAGCAAAUAGAAAGAAAGAAGAAAAAA